GACGAACGCUGGCGGCGUGCUUAACACAUGCAAGUCGAACGGAAAGGCCCUGCUUUCGUGGGGUGCUCGAGUGGCGAACGGGUGAGUAACGCGUGAGUAACCUGCCCUUGACUUUGGGAUAACUUCAGGAAACUGGGGCUAAUCCCGGAUUGGUGCUCCUGCUGCCUGGUGGGGGUUGGAAAGUUUCGGCGGUUGGGGAUGGACUCGCGGCUUAUCAGCUUGUUGGUGGGGUAGUGGCUUACCAAGGCCUUGACGGGUAGCCGGCGUGAGAGGGUGACCGGCCACAUUGGGACUGAGAUACGGCCCAGACUCCUACGGGAGGCAGCAGUGGGGAAUAUUGCACAAUGGGCGGAAGCCUGAUGCAACAACGCCGCGUGCGGGGUGGCGGCCGUCGGGUUGUAAACCGCUUUCGCCUGUGACGAAGCGUGAGUGGCGGUAAUGGGUAAAGAAGCACCGGCUAACUACGUG
This 468-nucleotide ribosomal RNA is filed under the name uncultured bacterium. RNAcentral describes it as "partial 16S ribosomal RNA". It matches the Rfam family "Bacterial small subunit ribosomal RNA", at positions 28 to 507 of the family's 1533-position model. The record is from RNAcentral.